ACACGGGGGGGACAAGCGUUGUUCGGAUUCACUGGGCGUAAAGCGCUCGUAGGCGGUCUUGCAAGUUGAAUGUGAAAACCGAAGGCUCAACCUUCGGCCUGCAUCCAAAACUGCAAGUCUAGAGUACUGGAGAGGAUGGCGGAAUUCCUGGUGUAGCGGUGAAAUGCGUAGAUAUCAGGAGGAACACCGGCGGCGAAGGCGGCCAUCUGGACAGAUACUGACGCUGAGGAGCGAAGGCCGGGGUAGCAAACAGGAUUAGAUACCCUGGUAGUCCCGGCGGUAAACGAUGGGCACUAGGGGUUGGCGGUAUCGACCCCGCCAGUGCCGCAGCAAACGCAUUAAGUGCCCCGCCUGGGGAGUACGGUCGCAAGAUUGAA
This 377-nucleotide ribosomal RNA is filed under the name uncultured bacterium. RNAcentral's name for it is "bacterial SSU rRNA". It matches the Rfam family "Bacterial small subunit ribosomal RNA", at positions 523 to 898 of the family's 1533-position model. The record is from RNAcentral.